CCAUGCAGCCAUCGAUACCGGGGAGCGAGGAGUUCUGGAUCUAUGAAAUUCAAACGAGUUAAUGUAUUUAUCAAGAGUGGUCACCCAACUCUCAGCCGAGUGAAUUUGCUUCCUGUCUUUGAAGUUGAUAACUUUAAUUGAGUUCACACACAGAAUAUUUUAAUGAUUCUGUUGGAACCACGUGAGUCUACCGAGCUUGUGAACCAUGCAACCAGCUAAUGAUUCACCAGUGAACCAUUUUCGGUGGAAAUAACGCUUUGGUUGAUUCUGCCCGUUGCUGUUUCUUCCUUUCAUCGUGUCACCUCUUAUUCAGGUGGGUGGCGGUUUUUUGGCGUAACCCAAUAAUAGGGAAGGCGUUGAUGGCCUUCCGCCCUCUGUCCGGAAACUUGUUAUGGGAUGGCUACAUCGAGACAUGCAGCCAAAACGUUUGUCGGACCCCACAAGGACCCAAAAAGAUUUCCAACGAACGCGUCCGGAACUUGUGAGGAAAGGUGGGCGUCGCUGAGGGAAGAUCGUCGAGUCCCAAUCCGCAGCCAUUGAGGAUUGUCAGGUGCUAAUUGGCUCCUCUGUCUCUCUCCGCCCCGCUUAAUUUUCAAGCCCAAACGUAUCCGGCUCGACUCUCGCGGCUCGUCUCCUUCCUGUGUAUUAAUUCAGCGAAGCUUAAACGAAGCAACAUGGAAGGGACCACCGACGGAAGGUAGGCUAUCCAUGCAAUUAGAUCACUACUUCUUAUGGUGCUCCCGGGUCACACAGUUAAAGCUAAGGAAAAAGGGCAAGAGAAAUGAUGUUCUCUUGUGAAGGGAUCGGCCAGGGAGACUCUACUCAUUAGGCUAAUUAAGUUUGGAUUAAUGUGAGGCAGCGAAUAUGCUUCCAGGUGUGAAAUGCGCUGUUUUAUAAUGAGAACAAGGUGACGAUGUCUCUAGUCAGAGCUUUUGCCCACAUUCGCCAGUGUCUUUAUGAUACAGUAAAUUAUAAGGAAUACUCUUCCUUCUUUUUUUAUAGGUCGUUUCUUUGAAUUUUUGCAUUUCCAGUUUCUAUUCAAUUUCAUUUCGGGCCAUUGGUUUCUGAUGUAUUUCUUCCUAAAUUACAUAAUCUUUUUUUAGAUUCAUGUUCGUGACUCUGACAUCUGUCACUUUCAUUUCCUCUCAGUUUCCCCUCAUCUUUUUCAUUUUCACGUUUCAAAAAGUUACGUGCCAACUUGUAGCAAAGGCUUAAUUUUCUGAUUCCCGUUGGAAAGAAAAAGAAAACAGAGAAAGGAAAGGUCGUUUGAAUGGUGUAUACCAACCUGUACUUUUUCUACCUGAUCCUUUUGCAUACAGCGCAGUGCGAAGCAGAACGAAACGAAGCACCAUUUCCAGUUGGCCAGGCCACAAACAAGCCACUCUUGUUGAUGCAUUUUCUGCGGGGAGUUAUUUGUCUCUCACUUGUUGUUUGCCCUUCUUUUUCUCUAUCGAAGAAAAGCUGACGGCGAUGGCCGAGAAAUGUCAUACGGCAGUUUGAGAACAAAAGAGGAAAUA
Daphnia magna is the source of this 1517-nucleotide long non-coding RNA. RefSeq lists it as uncharacterized. The transcript is spliced from 4 exons. The record is from RefSeq and is a predicted model, not a curated record. Lineage: Eukaryota; Metazoa; Arthropoda; Branchiopoda; Diplostraca; Daphniidae.